GUAAGGAAUAUUGCACAAUGGGCGAAAGCCUGAUGCAGCAACGCCGCGUGCGCGAUGAAGGCCUUCGGGUCGUAAAGCGCUUUUAGGGAGGAUGAGGAAGGACAGUACUCCCAGAAUAAGGUACGGCUAACUACGUGCCAGCAGCCGCGGUAAAACGUAGGUACCGAGCGUUAUCCGGAUUCACUGGGCGUAAAGCGCGUGCAGGUGGUUUGGUAAGUCGGGCAUGAAAACUCUUGGCUCAACUGAGAGAAGCUGUCCGAUACUGCCAGACUUGAGGGUGUGAGAGGGAGGUGGAAUUCCGCGUGUAGUGGUGAAAUGCGUAGAUAUGCGGAGGAACACCAGUGGCGAAGGCGGCCUCCUGGCACACUCCUGACACUCAGACGCGAAAGCUAGGGGAGCGAACGGGAUUAGAAACCCCUGUAGUCC
Molecule: ribosomal RNA, 426 nt
Filed under: uncultured bacterium
Lineage: Bacteria
Description: bacterial SSU rRNA
Rfam family: Bacterial small subunit ribosomal RNA
Source: RNAcentral